This 352-nucleotide unclassified non-coding RNA is filed under the name soil metagenome. RNAcentral's name for it is "partial contains 5.8S ribosomal RNA, internal transcribed spacer 2, and large subunit ribosomal RNA". The stretch from base 1 to 120 matches the Rfam family "5.8S ribosomal RNA", at positions 35 to 154 of the family's 154-position model. The record is from RNAcentral.
GAUGAAGAACGUAGCGAAAUGCGAUAAGUAAUGUGAAUUGCAGAAUUCAGUGAAUCAUCGAAUCUUUGAACGCACAUUGCGCCCGCCAGUAUUCUGGCGGGCAUGCCUGUUCGAGCGUCAUUACAACCCUCAGGCCCCCGGGCCUGGCGUUGGGGAUCGGCGGAGCCCCCCGUGGGCACACGCCGUCCCCCAAAUACAGUGGCGGUCCCGCCGCAGCUUCCAUCGCGUAGUAGCUAACACCUCGCGACUGGAGAGCGGCGCGGCCACGCCGUAAAACACCCAACUCUUCUGAAGUUGACCUCGAAUCAGGUAGGAAUACCCGCUGAACUUAAGCAUAUCAAUCAGCGGAGGA